UUGCAAUGAUUUGUACCGAUUCAUUGAUAGGUUAGAAGAUUGAUUUACUACUUUGAGUCGGUACGAAUCAUAUCAU
Tetranychus urticae (two-spotted spider mite) is the source of this 76-nucleotide microRNA precursor. It matches the Rfam family "mir-3931 microRNA precursor family". The record is from Rfam. Lineage: Eukaryota; Metazoa; Arthropoda; Arachnida; Trombidiformes; Tetranychidae.